GUAGGUGGCAAGCGUUGUCCGGAAUUAUUGGGCGUAAAGCGCGCGCAGGCGGUUCUUUAAGUCUGAUGUGAAAGCCCACGGCUCAACCGUGGAGGGUCAUUGGAAACUGGAGAACUUGAGUACAGAAGAGGAAAGCGGAAUUCCACGUGUAGCGGUGAAAUGCGUAGAGAUGUGGAGGAACACCAGUGGCGAAGGCGGCUUUCUGGUCUGUAACUGACGCUGAGGCGCGAAAGCGUGGGGAGCAAACAGGGAUUAGAUACCCUGGUAGUCCACGCCGUAAACGAUGAGUGCUAAGUGUUAGGGGGUUUCCGCCCCCUUAGUGCUGCAGCUAACGCAUUAAGCACUCCGCCUUGGGAGUACGGCCGCAAGGCUG
This 373-nucleotide ribosomal RNA is filed under the name uncultured organism. RNAcentral's name for it is "partial 16S ribosomal RNA". It matches the Rfam family "Bacterial small subunit ribosomal RNA", at positions 527 to 896 of the family's 1533-position model. The record is from RNAcentral.